GGUCGGCGCGCGCCCGCCCUGCCCCCGCCUCGGCCCGGCGCCCUGAGCCGCGGCCCCCUCGCAGCUCAGGGGCCGGCGGCCGCGGCAGGGCGGGCGCCGCGCGGAGGCAGGGCGGGCGUAUUCAAUGGAAGUAUGUUACCAGCUGCCGGUGCUGCCCCUGGACAGGCCGGUCCCCCAGCACGUCCUCAGCCGCCGAGGAGCCAUCAGCUUCAGCUCCAGCUCCGCGCUCUUCGGCUGUCCCAAUCCCCGGCAGCUCUCACAGAGGCGUGGAGCUAUUUCUUAUGACAGUUCUGAUCAGACUGCUCUGUACAUUCGUAUGCUAGGAGAUGUACGAGUAAGGAGCCGAGCAGGAUUUGAAUCAGAAAGAAGAGGUUCUCAUCCAUAUAUUGAUUUUCGUAUUUUUCACUCUCAAUCUGAAUUUGAAGUGUCUGUCUCUGCAAGGAAUAUUAGGCGGUUACUAAGUUUCCAGCGGUAUCUCAGAUCCUCACGCUUUUUCCGUGGUACUACUGCUUCCAGUUCUCUAAACAUUUUAGAUGAUGAUUAUAAUGGACAAGCCAAGUGUAUGCUGGAAAAAGUUGGAAAUUGGAAUUUUGAUAUCUUUCUAUUUGAUAGACUAACAAAUGGAAAUAGUCUAGUAAGUUUAACCUUUCAUUUAUUUAGUCUUCAUGGAUUAAUUGAGUACUUCCAUUUAGAUAUGAUGAAACUUCGUAGAUUUUUAGUUAUGAUUCAAGAAGAUUACCACAGUCAAAAUCCUUAUCAUAAUGCAGUCCAUGCUGCAGAUGUUACUCAGGCCAUGCACUGUUACUUAAAGGAACCUAAGCUUGCCAAUUCUGUAACUCCUUGGGAUAUCUUGCUGAGCUUAAUUGCAGCUGCCACUCAUGAUCUGGAUCAUCCAGGUGUUAAUCAACCUUUCCUUAUUAAAACUAACCAUUACUUGGCAACUUUAUACAAGAAUACCUCAGUACUGGAAAAUCACCACUGGAGAUCUGCAGUGGGCUUAUUGAGAGAAUCCGGUUUAUUCUCACAUUUGCCAUUAGAAAGAAGGCAACAAAUGGAGACUCAGAUAGGUGCUUUGAUACUGGCCACAGAUAUCAGUCGUCAGAACGAGUACCUGUCAUUGUUUAGGUCCCAUUUGGAUAGAGGUGACUUGUGCCUAGAAGAUGCCAGACAUAGGCAUUUGGUUUUACAGAUGGCUUUGAAAUGUGCUGAUAUCUGUAACCCUUGUCGGACCUGGGAAUUAAGCAAACAAUGGAGUGAAAAAGUAACAGAAGAAUUCUUCCACCAAGGAGAUAUAGAAAAAAAGUAUCAUUUGAGUGUGAGUCCACUUUGUGAUCGUCAGACUGAAUCUAUUGCCAACAUCCAGAUUGGUUUUAUGACUUACCUAGUGGAGCCGUUAUUUACAGAAUGGGCCAGGUUUUCAGACACAAGGCUAUCCCAGACAAUGCUUGGACAUGUGGGACUGAAUAAGGCCAGCUGGAAGGGGCUGCAGAGAGAGCAGUCCAGCAGCGAGGAUGCCGAUGCCGCAUUUGAGUUGAACUCAAAGUUAUUACCUCAGGAAAACCGGUUAUCAUAACCCCUGAACCAGUGGGACAGACUGCCUCCUGGAGGCUUUUAGUAAUGUGAAACGGGGUCUUGAGGUGAGAGAACUUACUCUUGACUGCCAAGGUUUCCAAGUGAAUGAUGCCAGCAUUAUUUAUUUCCAAGAUUUCCUAAGUUGGAUCAUUUGAACCCACUUUUUAAUUAUGAGACCUGAACAUACAGCAAUAUGCUUUUGGCUUUUGUGUGAAACCUUGAAUAUGCAAAGCCCAGCAGGAGAACCCGAAAAGAGUAAAAAAAGAAGUUUCUCAGUGUGCCACGCAUUUUUCAAAGCAUUUACUCUUCAAACAUGAAACUUGAACUGAAUCUUUCAGCAGCAGUCUCUUGGAAUUCAACCAGUCUGAUGCAACAUUGUGUAUCUGUACCUUCCACUAAGUUCUCUCUGAGAAAAAGGAAAUGUGAAGUGCCCAGCCUCUGCUGCCUCUGGCAAGACUCAGUGUUUACAAAUCAACUCUGAAAAUAUUGGUUCUAAAUUGCUUUGGAGCAUGAUUGUGAAGGAACCACUUAAAAAAAAAAAUUUAAAGAUCAAACUUUAGACUGCAGCUCUUCCCCCUGUUUGCCUUUUUUCUUCUUUGGAUGCCACCAAAGGCUCCUGUUUGCUGUAUUUUAUUUCGUGCACUGGAAGCUGAGCAUUUAUUCCAGUGCGUUUAUCAUAGAGUACCGCCAAGCUUCUACUCCAGUGCUGUUUGGCAAUGCAGUUUUUUUUAACUGUUAGUUUUUAAUUUGGGGUGGGAGGGGAGGAACGCCAAUGUCCUAGCUGUGUUAUGAUUCUGCAGUGAAGACAUUGCAUGUUGUUUUCACUACUGUACACUUGACCUGCACAUGCAAGAAAAAGGUGGAAUGUUUAAAACACCAUAAUCAGCUCAGGGUAUUUGCCAAUCUGAAAUAAAGUGGGAUGGGGAAGUGUGUCCUUCAGAUCCAGGGUACUAAAGUCCCUUUCGCUGCAGUGAGUGAGAGGCAAAUCUUCUUGAGAAGCCAAAUUAUGAACAGCCGGUUCACUUGGUGAGCAUGGAUUCUGAGCAAGGGAAGCAAGUUGCCUCAUGCCUCCAUCUCCUUAUGGAGAUAGUCCUGCUGAUAUUCAUGUUUGUGGACCAGGGUACCCUCUUCCCCUGGAAGAUGCUAGAGAUUCUCUGCCAGUAGUUACUUCUCCACAUUAGCUUCUGAUUGGCAACUCCAUUAGAUGUCAUUGCCUUCAACAUUGUUUCAGUUGAGCUUACCUAGGCUCCGUUCUACCUGUGUGUGCUUUCUUCUGCUCUGACCAAUUGUUUGUCUUAUAGUUUAAUACUCAAAAGAUUAGCUUACAGUUUCCACAUUCUCAGGGGGACACCUUGGUGUUGCUUCCAUUUUCCUAUCAGUGUAAUAAAUCCAUUCAAAAGUCAUGUUUUGUUAUGUAUAUGUGGGAAACACCUUUUAUAGCCCUGCUUUUUAAAUGGAGCAUAUGUUCCUUGAACAUUGAAUUUUGUAGAAAAUUUUGAGGAUACAAAUAUUAAGAUCACAUUUUUUAAAAAUAAGCAAAUAUGGAACAAUGUAAAGUCCACAUGAAUUUUUAAGAUAAAAUAGGAGACUUUAAAGAAUUGUUAAGCAUGUAACAGCCCUUUCAGGCUCUUGGCCUAAUACUUCACUGGUGAGGGAAUCUAUUCUUUAUGGAUUAAGGUCCUUGGAAAGCAAAUCUUGACAAGUCCCAGCUUAACGACAAAAAUUGGUUCCUGAUCAGUAUUUGUACUCACUGUAAAUGUGAUGGUUUGUAAUGAUCCUCUUUGUAUAAAUAGUAACAAUUACAUUUUAUGUCCUUUGCAAACACGGGAAAUAUCCUUGUACCUGGUGUACAGGUUAGAGGUGCUAGUAACUCCUUCAAGAUUCCAAAAAGGGUCUCUUUUUUCCACAAUGCUUUCUUGGCUUUUAUUAAGCUUUCUAUUUUCUUAAAACUUUAAAAUUUUCACAUCAGAAGUUUCCAGUGUCUCCAAACAUCUAUAAAUAUUUUAAUGUAUAAACUUUGUUUAAAUUCCCUAUCAGUACCUGCUGAUUGAGAAAAGACACAAUUACCAAUAAUAACUAAUAUGAAUUAAUAUUGCUUUUAAGGAAAUAUGCAUACUAGUCCCUACAGCAUCAACAUACAUUUAAAAUAUAGUAGAAUAGACAUGUGCAGCCACUUCCUGUCAAGGUCCUAAAGAUGACCUGUCAUUUCAAAAACCCUGAAGGGUCCAUGGUCUAAAGGUGGGGGGUGAAUUGACAAAGGGCAUAUAAUGGGUCUGUAUCUUCCUGGUUCCUCUGCUUAGCAUAGGGCUGGUAUAAAUUGGACUAUCAGUAAAUAUUUGUUGAACAAAUUAAUGUUGAAUUAAUGUUCCCUUUUUACCUAUCAGAUUAUCACUAAGAGAAAUUAUACUGAAACUAGUCUGUUUGUGCUGAAGUCAUGUGGUAAGCAAUAUCUGAGUUCCUGUUGUGUACAGAGCAUGGCACUGAAUGUAAUAAAAGGGGUUUUAAAAUUGAAAACCAUGGUCUCUGUUCUCCAAGUGCUUGGGUGACAAAAUAAUGUAUGAAGUGUUUAUCAUGUUUAUCUAUAUCAUUCAAAAUGAGCAAAGUGUUGAGAAUGGAUGACUAAUGGUGAAAAUGACAUCAUUUCUAGUAAAUCCUAUGUAUAGCUGUUAAUAUCUGAAUCAUUUGGCUUCCACAUUUGGUUCUAAAACAGUUUUAAAUAUCCAAUGUACUUUUAGUAAAAUUCUUUUUUAUCAAUUACAUCUUAAAAUCUAUACUGACACUUUUAAGUUGUCCUGAAACCAAUCUUAGUCUGGUGGGUUGGCAGAGGAAGAAAAACAACCCUGUUUUUAGUAUUUGAUUUCUUGCUGGCUAUUAUUUAAGACUGAAACAAAGUGACUUAGUCUAUUGUAGCUAUCCAUUGAUCCCAGUCUCUAUUAAAAGAAUUCCAUCUUGUAUUUAUCUUUAAGCUCUGCAUCUAAGAUUUUUUUUAACAUAAAAUUUGUAUUUCUUCAUUUAUUGGGCUAUAUUCUCUAAAAAAAAAAAAAAAUCAGGAAACAAAUGAUAUCACAAGUCCCUUUGCCUUAGCUGAAUUUUAUGAAAAUUACAUAUUUGUUUAUACACACACAACAUAAAUUUUGAAGGAAAUGCCAUAAAGAAGUGCACUUGUUUUAAUUUGCUCAGGUUGCUAUCAAAAAGAACCAUAGACGGGGUGACUUAAAAACAACAGGUAUUCAUUUUUCAUGGCUUUGGAGGGUGGAAGUCUAAAAUCAGGGUGCCAGAAUGGUUGGGUUCUGGUGAAGGCCUUCUUCCUGGUUACAUCCUCAGGUGGCCAAGAGAGGGCUAGCUCCCUCUUCUAUAAGACCACCAAUUCCAUCAUGAAAUCUUUGCCCUGGGACCUAAUUACCUCCAACGGUUCCACUCCUAAUACCAUCCUAUUUAAAGGUUAGGUUUUCAACACAAGGAUGAGGGGAGGAUGUUACACGUGCACUUAAUAACUAACCUUAAAGUUCCUAGGUGUAGAGCUUGGGGGUAUGUCUCAGUGAUAGGACACUUGCUUAGCAUGUGCAAGGCCCUAUGAUCAAUUUCCUGCACCACACACACUGUAAAAAUUACUAGGUGAACUAUUUUAGAAAACAACUGGGAUUUCCCCUAAGAAUCAUCACAAGAUGAGGGUUAGGUUUUUCUAUUACAGGGCACAGGGACUCAGAUUAAACGGGAGGAAACUGGGAGCUCUAAUCAUGAGGAUUUAUGUGGAUGAAAAUAAUGGAGAUCACUCCUAAGGCCAUGCCUUAGGAAACAGAACCUGAGAUGUGAUCAUUCUGAGACAGAGCUGCUUUCUCCCGUACUCUUGGCUACUGUUUCUCUUCCAGCUCUCUCUUUUGCAGUCUCUGUUUAAGGUAGCAGUAUAACAUGAUUUUUAAAAAGCAUUAUUUCUGUAGCUUAUAAGACUUGGGUUUGAUUCCUUUGGUAAGUUACCAUAUCUUUUGAGUGAUUUCCUACCCUGUAAAAUGUCUUGUUUAAAAGUAAAAUCAUGUAUUGACACUUUUGAGAGUGCUGAAUCAAUGCUACUAUGAAUAUGCUUCCUAAGUCAUUUCCUCAAAAUCAUUGCAUAAAAUUCCUCAUAGGUAUAGCUGUACCUCAUUAGUAUCCUUAUUUAAGCUCCUGGUACUACCUACCUUGCUCUCUUAGGUUUCUUAUUCAGCUUCCUGGGGAAGAAUCAAAUUAGAAUACCUACUGAGGCUGUGUCCCUGGGCACAGUGUAUGCGUUAUUAGGUAUUCUGCCCUGCAAAAGGGGAAGGACAAGGACCAUCAAUUUGAAUCCCUCCCCCAUUAGCUCCCAUGUGCUAUUCUACCCCACUUGCUAACACCAGUAUUUGAAAAUGACUUUCUGACAGAACUCAAGUUCUCAUGCUUUUCACCUUUAAGAUGAUACCAGAAACUGUUUCUGGUUUCAUCUUCUUUCAUCUUUUGAUAAAAAGCAUGUCUGACCAAUGAGGAGGGAUGGCCAUAUUAGGCAACAAUGAUAGUGGUUCCUUGUGCCUUUGGUAAAAAACCCUUGAUUUCUUUCCAAAUUAAGGCUUUUCCAGUUGUGAAGAAAAAGGAUGUCUGUGUGACAUGCAUUUGGUAUGGAAUAGGAAGCAUUAUUUGGGUUAUCUUAACAACUGCUCUCUUGAGAAUAUCUAAAUGACACUCAUGUUCUACGCUAAUCUUGCAGGAGUCAUCUCACCUUUUCAAGAGGCUGGAGAAGCUGCCAAAGAGAAAAACGUGAGAAGUUCCAGCUGUAGGAACAUUAAGUCUUUACGAAGUGAACUAAGGACAACAGUCCCCAGAGGGACCUCUGCAAGAUUUCUGGGUGCUUGCUUGGUUACGCUAUUUUUAUUAUCCUGUCUUCAAGAAAGAGUAUUAAGGUCAAGGAAGAGCUAGCUUACAAGGUUUCCAAGAGAAGUCUAAGAAGAAUCUUAAGAGAUUCAAGACAUUCGCUCAGAAGGAUGAACCUAUAAAACAAGAGGUCCUUGUAAUGAGAGUUUGUGAGCAGUAUUGCAACAGUCUUACUAUGAAACCGACUGUCAUUCAGCCUGGCAGUCUCAGAGCUGCUUCUGUUGGAUGAACCCUGAAAGAAUUUCUUGUGCCAUGUUCUAUUCCCAGAGAACUAUUUUUGGAGAAGUUAUCAGAACAAUAUUUUUUCCAAAG
RNA transcript from Marmota monax (woodchuck), 6762 nucleotides. It is a transcript of the gene named phosphodiesterase 7A, with no coding region annotated. The transcript has 14 exons. Lineage: Eukaryota; Metazoa; Chordata; Mammalia; Rodentia; Sciuridae. The record is from RefSeq and is a predicted model, not a curated record.